GCCAAAGACCUAUAUUAGAGGCUUAUACGAGAAGGCAUGAAAAUUGAGUAGUGAACUUUUCAAACCAAGAAGCAAACCAUCAAAUCAAAGAUUAAAAGCCAACCGCACUUGUCCCAUGCUCAUCCCACAAAUAGCAUCCUAUGAACCAUACACCAGCAAAAUACAACCAGGAUUAUAAUCAAACCAUCAAAGAAAUAUUUAGCUUCACAAAUAACAGAAAUUCCACAAUUCAAUCUUUGGAGAUCAAGUAGAGAAAAUAAUUUAAACAUCGAACACCAUUCAAUCCAACAUUUGAGACGAAUCUCAUCGAGAAAUUAGGAUAUCCUGGGAGUUGCAGCCAUUUUAAACUCUUUAGGAUUUAGGGUCAGAAACUCGAAUUGAUGAACUGUGGUCACAACCCUUCUCAUUCGUGCAGCUACUCCCGCAACACCAUCUACGCGGAUCAAAUAAUGUCGUCUAGUGUCUUCAAAUUCGAGAGGCAACAAAAUUGGAUCCAAUUUGGCACUGAUUCCCCGAAGAUAGUGUUGAAAAAGAAGCCACACAAAUGAAGCCAGGCCAUACCCCUGGUGGUCACAAAAAUCACCCAUGAAGAAAAACAGUGUCGCCAUUAGAGGAUUAUCCGAGAAGGCAUUAAAGUUUGAGUAGAAAACUUUUCAAACCAAUAAGCAAACCAUCAAAUCAAAGGGUAAAAGCCAACCGCACUUGUCCCAUGCUCAUCCCACAAAAUGCGUC
Molecule: long non-coding RNA, 732 nt
Filed under: Phaseolus vulgaris (common bean)
Lineage: Eukaryota; Viridiplantae; Streptophyta; Magnoliopsida; Fabales; Fabaceae
Description: long non-coding RNA (PVUL_LNC002637)
Source: RNAcentral